AUUUGAGGAGCCAGCUGUAUGAGUCGUACUUCCUGAACUUCAUCUCUGCCAUCAGUCGGAGUAAACUGGAGGACAUUGCCAGUGCUGCCCUGGCUGCUAAUGCAGUCAGCCAAGUCACCAAGGUGUUUGAUCAGUACCUGAACUUCAUCACCCUGGAAGAUGACAUGUUCAUCCUCUGCCA
Poecilia reticulata (guppy) is the source of this 181-nucleotide non-coding RNA. The record is from RefSeq and is a predicted model, not a curated record. NCBI's taxonomy places the organism in Eukaryota, Metazoa, Chordata, Actinopteri, Cyprinodontiformes, Poeciliidae.